AAAUUUUCACCCGACUUUUAUCCAUGAUCAGUCAUUUUAUUUUAUUUUUCUUUGUUCGAAUAUCCAAUUUAAUUAAUUAGAAUGUUCUCCAUUAUUUAGUUUGAAUUUUGAUAAUGAAUCUUUUAAUAAGUUUUUAAUAAUAAUAUUAGUUGAGAUAGCAUUGGAUCCCGUUGCCAAAUUGAAGCUGAUCACACGGCAGCUCACAUUGCAUAUCAAAGAAAAAAUCUUCUGCCUCAAGUAAAAAGAUGCCACACGGACUCCACCCCCAACGUAUCUCCUAAAACCCACUACUCACAUUUGGAGGAAGGGCCCACCUAUAUACUCCGUACACG
This 332-nucleotide long non-coding RNA is filed under the name Lathyrus oleraceus (garden pea). Its description in RNAcentral is "Pisum sativum (pea) long non-coding RNA (PSAT_LNC024184)". The record is from RNAcentral. Lineage: Eukaryota; Viridiplantae; Streptophyta; Magnoliopsida; Fabales; Fabaceae.